GGUGAGGUCAGCACCAUCUUCAAUCUCAGUUUCAAUAACGAUGGUAACAGCCAUGACCUUUCUAAUUUGAUUCCAGUCUUCCAGACGUUUUACUCCCUCAAAUCACGCGCCGUUUGCUCCUAGUUAAAGCCCUCGACCUCCUCUCCAUUUCCCCUAUCUCAUUUCCUCGAAUCAUGCCCCCAGGCUGCUCAAUUUCGUCGCCGAAGUCCAUCGCCCCACCACGGUAUUUCAUUGAUUCCGACCAUAUCGUCGAGAACGACCUCCACUGGAUCUCGCCGGAGCCGCCGUCUCGGCCGAAUAGGAACACGAACCCGAGGAGCACUGGGAUGUCCAGGAGAGCACACAGGACCAUCGACGCAGAUCCGUCCCGUCGCACCUCGUCAACCCUUGCCCCGAGCAGGAGGACCGCCAUCCAACGUCGAGCCGUCGUGGCCAUACUCUCAGCACGCUCGAACAAUACUACCACCUUCCGUUCGUGCGAAGAGCGACAUGUUUCCUUGAGAGAAGUGAACGAUCUUCAAUUACCAAAAAGGCAAGUGACAUUCAAGUCCUACUUAUUUUAUAUUAUGCAUUAGAGUUUUUGAGUAGUAUAUGCAUGUUGUUUUCAAAAGUGAAUUAUAUAUGCUAUGCUUAGCAAACCUAGUAGUGUGUAGCCGCUCUCAACAUCCCUGCUAGGAUGCUUUAUUUUGCUUUGCAACAUCAAAUGCCAAUGUUGUUUCAUUACUUGGUUGUGAGUGUUUAAAAUUUUGAAAGUUAACAACCUUAAUGAAACACUUGGGUGGAAUUGGAGUGGCUUGGAUUAUGUUGAGUGGCUACUCGGGGCUACAUACCUGGCGGAUUUAACCAUUGUAUGUGGUGGUGACCCGAGGGUUAGUACACUUGUGGUUUGCCACCCAGGAACAAAGAGAUUGCUAUGUCUUCCAUGUUUAGUGUACUUCCAGUGCAGCCUUAUGAUAUUAUGGGCUCUGUCUUGAUUGAGUAAGAUGUGAGGGUUCAACUUGUUGCAAGACAUUGGCUGGUAGCAGAAUUAUAGGUGGGAACGAGUCUUGCAUGUAUGGUUUCUCUCUCCUUCUGAAAGGUCUCGUCUCAUUCUUCUCCCUGGGUAGAAUGGGUCGUAAGGUGAAAGUGCACAAUCUCUGCAAAGUUAAAAACUAAGAUCUUAGCCGUGUCCCCGGUUAUGAACAAUUUGAGUCUCUAGACAAGGAUGUACGGAAUAAUCUCAUCACCUUUUCUCAAUGCUUAAAAUUUGUUUAGAAACAAUCUCAGGACUGAAUUUUCUCAGGGCUACAUACCUGGCGGUGUCACCAUUGUAUGUGGUGGUGACCUGAGAAUUAUCCCGAUCGAGUGGCCCUGAUACGUCCAAUUUGCAUCACUAUUUUAUAUCAUAAUUUGCUGUUAUUCAUUGAUAUAUUUCAUAUUUGGAGAUGAUAUUUACGUUAUUUCAUCUAUUUUGCAUGAUUCAUGAUUAUUGGAGGAUCGCGCACCGGAGCCAGGAUUCUGCUGGAAAAAGCACCGUCAGAAUGCAAUAUUUCGGAAGAUCAACAAUUGACGAAAGUUAUAUGAAAAAUCCUAUUUUUCCAGAAGAGGACGAGAGCCAGAAGGAGGAGCCGAGGAGGGCCACCAUGGGCCCCCCUCACAGGCCGGCGCGGGCCCUGCCCUGGCUGCGCCACCAUGUGGGGAGGGGGCCCACAGCCCCCUCUGGCCUCCUCUCCUUCGUGUAUUUCUUCGUCCCGAAAACCUAAGCUCAGGGGGAUAAGUCGCGAAGAGUCACAGCCGCCUCUGCGGGGCAGAGAACACCAGAGAGAAAAGAGCUCUCCGGCAGGCUGAGAUCCGCCGGGGAAAUUCCCUCCCGGAGGGGGAAAUCGACACCAUCGUCACCGCCAUCGAGCUGGACAUCAUCUCCAUCACCAUCAUCAUCAUCUCCAUCAUCAUCACCACCGUCUCCACCGCUGCACAUCGUCACCGCUGUAACAAUUUGGGUUUGAUCUUGAUUGUUUGAUAGGGGAAACUCUCCCGGUAUUGAUUUCUACUUGUUAUUGAUGCUAUUGAGUGAAACCGUUGAACCAAGGUUUAUGUUCAGAUUGUUAUUCAUCAUCAUAUCACCUCUGAUCAUUUUCCA
Molecule: long non-coding RNA, 2119 nt
Organism: Lolium perenne
Lineage: Eukaryota; Viridiplantae; Streptophyta; Magnoliopsida; Poales; Poaceae
Source: RefSeq, a predicted model, not a curated record